Molecule: non-coding RNA, 95 nt
Filed under: Actinomyces urogenitalis
Lineage: Bacteria; Bacillati; Actinomycetota; Actinomycetes; Actinomycetales; Actinomycetaceae
Also listed under: 1 other name
Description: SAM-I sequence
Rfam family: SAM riboswitch aptamer (S box leader)
About the family: The SAM riboswitch is found upstream of a number of genes which code for proteins involved in methionine or cysteine biosynthesis in Gram-positive bacteria. The SAM riboswitch acts at the level of transcription termination control.
Source: RNAcentral
UAGCCAUCCCGAGCGGCUGAGAGACCUGGCUCUUCGACGCCGCAGCAACCGACCGGCUCUGCCGGCCCCGGUGCUCCCGCCAGGACCGAUGGAAG